UGUUAUCAUUCAGUGAGCUAAGGGAAUUUUAACACCAGAGAAGCUGUGUGGAGAGCUGUGUCUCAGCCUGAAGGAUGGCGACCUUUCCAUCAGGUGACCGUAGCUUUCUGACCCACCCUGAGACGCUCCUCUGCCCCUUCCGCAGUCGGGUGAAGGCUUUUUCCCUUACACCAGCCGUGAGCGGGUCACACCCUCCUGACACGCACUGGCUUUGACCGUGCGACGGGCUGGGUGUGUCUGGAGUAGCUUCACUGACCGGGGAGGGCAGGAAUGACCCGUCGCUGCUUGCAGAGCUGGGAGUGGGUGGUAGUCAUUGUUUCGUGGCAGGUUCAGCCGUUUCCCGCGUGUUAGCAUCUGCCUUGCAACUCCCUGGAAACCAAGUGCUUUGUUGCUUUACUUAACUCCUUCUGACCUUUUGCAGUUCUGUGUUUUCUCCAAGAGGUGGCCAUCAUAGUUCUAAACUGGUUUAAAAGCCGCAGAUGUGAGCAGGCCCUGGUCACUCUGAAUGGCUGUUGCUUCAUCCUAAGGAUGAGUCCUUCAGGAUUCCCAGGGAUCAGAUAUCCGGCACGCUCCUGACACCCUGGGGAUCAGAUGUGGUGAGGGGAAGGUGGCUCGGCAGGGUGGCUUGCCUGCGACCCAGAGGGCACCCGCCCGCCCAGAUGAAGCCAGGAGACUGAUGUUUAUCGAGCCCCUACUCUGUAGCACGUUCUGGGCUUUAUCCUCCUGAGAGCCUGGGAGGUGGCCGUUAAGGCCCCAUUUUACAGAUGAGGACGCUGAGGCUCAGAGAUGUGAAACACUCUGUGAGUGAGAGAUGUGAGUGCCUCGGGGCGGUUGCGCUCCAGGCCGCCCACCAGCUGAGCUCCUCAUCUUCCUGGGAAAGGGAGCCGAACUCAAACACCAGCCACUGGUUUCUGCCCUAUGGAUGGAGGGGGCUUGCCGGUUUACCUGCUGUUAAGCUCCCAGAGGCCGUGAGCGUGAAGAUUGCAGAUCCUGGGAAAUCCCCAAGUCCGGAGCAGGCAGGGCUGUGCCCGGCACUCUUUCCCGUCUGCUUCUGUCUGCUCUGGGGUCAGACCUGGGGACCGGCGGUCGGCGUGCUUAUCGGUAUUGCCUUGGCCGCUGGGUCCGGAUGGAGCCGUCCCUGUAAGCUUUGUUCAUUACUAAACGUCCAGCCCGACUUUAAAAUUAGUGCAGAAGGUUCCGGACUUUCAUUUUGA
Molecule: long non-coding RNA, 1214 nt
Filed under: Delphinapterus leucas (beluga whale)
Lineage: Eukaryota; Metazoa; Chordata; Mammalia; Artiodactyla; Monodontidae
Description: lncRNA (ENSDLEG00000006482.1)
Source: RNAcentral